UAAAAUAAUCUAAGUGAUAAUACCCGAAAAUCUAAGAUCUAAGUGUAUAUUAAGUUUUAGAUUAAAGUUAAGGUGCUGUAGCAUCAGCUCGCAAUAAAUAAUACCUUAGUGGUGAAAAGCCUACAAUUAUAUUGAUAGCUGGAUAAUUAUUAAAUAUAUUUAGUUUAUAUUAAAGCUAUGAAGUGAUAAGAUUUUAUAGAAAGAAUUUAAUGUAUAUUUAAGACUACUAUUAAAUAAUCUUUAACAGUAUUUACUUAUAAUAAAAUAAUUUUACAUCUAUAACAUUCUUUUAUAAUAAUUUAUUUUUCUAAAUCAGUUAGAAAAUUUGAUAAUGUAUAAAUUAGUAUGUACUAUAAAUUUAAUUAAAUUAACUCGGCAAAUAUUAUGUACGACUGUUUAACAAAAACAUAGCCGGUAGCUAUUAUAUUAUCGGUGUGACCUGCCCGGUGAAUUUUUAACGGCCGCAGUACUAUGACUGUGCAAAGGUAGCAUAAUCAUUUGGCUUUUAAUUGGAGUCUGGCAUGAAAGGGAAAACGUACAUAAGCUGUAUCUAAUUAUAAAGUUAUUUAAAUUAUUAAUAGGGUGAAAAUACCCUAAAUUAAAAAAAUAGACGAGAAGACCCUUAGAAUUUUAAGAAAAACCGUAGCGAAUAUGGGGCGAUUUUUGUUGGGGCAACAUUUUUUCAUUUAAAUAAAAAAAAAAACAUUUAACUUAACGAAGAAGUUUAAUAAAGAAAAAAUUACCUUAGGGAUAACAGCAUAAUUUUAAUUAAAGAUUGUGACCUCGAUGUUGGACUAGGAACUAUUAAGGCUAGUCGUUUUAAUAUAAUAAGUUCUGUUCGAACUUUGUUUCCUA
Molecule: ribosomal RNA, 855 nt
Filed under: Montenegrina hiltrudae costulata
Lineage: Eukaryota; Metazoa; Mollusca; Gastropoda; Stylommatophora; Clausiliidae
Description: partial 16S ribosomal RNA
Rfam family: Archaeal large subunit ribosomal RNA (bases 349-596)
Source: RNAcentral